This 998-nucleotide long non-coding RNA is filed under the name Hordeum vulgare. RNAcentral describes it as "long non-coding RNA (HVUL_LNC017633)". The record is from RNAcentral. Lineage: Eukaryota; Viridiplantae; Streptophyta; Magnoliopsida; Poales; Poaceae.
CAACCGGUAUUUGCUCGCCAGAGAAUCUUCAAGUCGCCCUGAUGCAACAGAUAUUGAGGUUAGAAACUGCUAUUAGCUGAUAUUAUCUCCGGUGAUCACAUUUUCUCAGUUACUAUGUUGUGUUUGUGUUCCUUUUAAUACUUCUUAAGUUUGAUCAAGCACUGUUGGAAAGGCGAUUCAGCUAUUGGAUUGUGUACAAAAACUGUAAAUACCCAAGAGCCAAUUGAUUCCUCAAAACUCUAGGAAUCACUGUGGCAUUGUGCAACCACAUAGACAUUAAGCUGUCAAACAACCGACACUCUGUACAAUCCAGAGAACAAUAAGUCACUGCAUAUUACUAGCUAGCACCAUGGAGAGGAUGUUAACAAAAUUGAUGUCUAGUUAUUUGUAGCUAGACUAGAGAUCAGUUAUCCUUUUAUACGAGCCAGAUAACCUCGUUUAGAAAAUCCAUGUUGAGAUAUCAACACCCAAUGCUAGUUUGUUAUUUUUUUCUUCUUCAUUUUGUAGAGAUUAAUAAGACCAUUGUAAUCUGCAGAUAAUAUUCGGCGGUGGGGGCGCCAGCGAGCAACCUGACGAGGAACCUUCAAUGAUGAACAACGUCAUGGCUGCGUUUAGUUCGGUGAGCCGGUUUAUGAGAGUCAUCUCCAAGUGAAAAAUUCCAGACAGCUUUCCUCACAUUUGAAGCCAUCAUAAGACAAAGGUUUGUCAAGGAUGGUGCUUGGGCAGGGUUACUCACUACUGAUGUUCAGAAAUCAGAAGUUCAAAACAAUGGUUUGCACAUGGUCGUUAGCAAAGGUUAAAACAGUGUCUGUGUACUGUACAGUAUACACACAUCAUAUCGGAUCUGUAUGAUUGUUGACCAUGUAGUUCGUAGUUUUCUUUUUCUUUCGGAACGACCAAAUGUCAUGUACUCCCUCCGUUCCUAAAUAUAAGUCUUUUUAGAGAUUCCACUAGGGGACUACAGACGGAGCAAAAUGAGUGAAUCUAUACUUUAAUGU